Molecule: long non-coding RNA, 9678 nt
Organism: Daphnia pulex (common water flea)
Lineage: Eukaryota; Metazoa; Arthropoda; Branchiopoda; Diplostraca; Daphniidae
Exons: 3
Source: RefSeq, a predicted model, not a curated record
AAGUGUCGUCUGCUUUCUUUAUUCCAAAAAUUUCGAAAAAGUCAGUGACAAAAGUUUAAGAUUUAUAUUGUUAUUUAUUUAUUUUCUUUUGAUAACCGUCAUGCUCCAUGCUGUUUAGCGGAUUUGAGUCCAGAGCCAUCCAUCAUACCCACACAAUGUGCAAGUUUUUCUUGUGCAGGUGUUAACCUGUCACCAGCAACAAUCUCAGGAUCAUCGUCUGGGAUAAUAAGCAUCCCAUUGCUUUGGAAUACAAUGUCAAUCGAGUUAUGGAUCUCUCUUCUUCCCCUUUUCACGAGUAUUCGAGUAUUCACGAGGACACCCUUUGUCCCUAUCCCGUCUGGUGUAACUCUAAUCUUCAGCGGAUGGAUGGAGCAACUUCGGAUGCCUGGCUGUAUUUCCCAGGCAUAAUGGUAGGACAAAAUUGAUCUCUAUUCUUCCUUUUUGACAACUUUUGGUGGCGUUGAUUAUAAAUAGUUACGGAAUACGUUUAUUCCCAAGCUAGGCGGUUGACUGCAACUGUUUUCUCUCUUUGUUUUUGUUUUUUCUCAGUAAUGAUUCACUAAAAUUAUUUGUCAAACUACUGUGCAGAUUAGGCUUGUUUUGUCUUUCACAACUUUUACUGUGGGUAAACCAUCACAUUUGAAAAUAUUUGAAUUUGAAACACUUGAAGCAAAGUGCAUCAAGACCAUUUUUUUUUUACCAAGAAUUAACUGCCAACACCUCGUUCCAAAUUAUGUUGUUGCCAGUUUUUAUCACUUUAUAGAUACCUACUUGAACAAUGAGAAAAUCCCCAAUAUUGUUUAAAUCAUUUUCGAUCCGUUAUACCGAUUGUAACGUCCGUUAGAAAAACAUGAUGCGAUAUUCCGCCGUCAAAUGUGUUAUAAAUGCCUGAUUGAAAAUUCGCUGGUGUUUCCGACAUCAUGUUACUCAAUCUCAAAGAGUCCAAUCACGAACUCGACAGAUCUAUUCUCGCUGGCGAUGACUCUUAACAACUACUCAUAUACCUAUCAGAGACGAACAGCCCAACUUUUCCUUGUUUCUAAAUUUAUAUAUGAUGACAAGCGUUAUUAUAGCUUUUCCUAGAACGCUCGUGAUUGUGUGGCUUAGACACACACUUGUGUGAACUUGUGAACGAGGAAAGCACUCUUGCGCCAUGUCGUUUAUAAAUGAGAAAGAAGCGCUUGCUGUACAGAACACGGCGGGCUUAUUUGUCUGAUGGGCAGGAGGACAGCAGUACGUGGUUGUGUGCUGCGCGGGAGGGAAAGUGAUGGACAAGUUUUGCAUAAGAAAGUUGACGCUCUUCUUCUCUUGCUGCCUUCUAUUCCGACUGGCAGUACCGUCCCGUGGGGGCUAUUUUCAAAUCUCCACCGCCGCCGCUGCUGUGCCGCUGUUAUGCUAUUCCGUCCGGGUGUUGAUGUUUGUUACGCGUCUCGGUCGAUGGCCUCGUUAUAAUAUGCAUUGCCAGCGCACAGCACUCGCUCACAUCAUUCACGAUACAACGAGUACCGAGAUGGUGUGACUAACACACACAACCGGCGGGACAACAUGAAUUGAAUGCAUCAUAAGGUGAGAACUUUAGCGGUUAAAAUCGUCCACUGUUGUUGACUUUGCGCCGGAUAUGUAUAGGGACACACCGACUCGUCUAAUAUUCGCUGCUAUAUUUGUUUUGGUUUUCACGGCCCACUUUAAUUCGUAUUUCACGACGAAGGCUCACAUCAAAAUAGCGUCAGGCGAUAGACAGACGUGCCAGGGUCGUCGCCGCCGUCGUCGCCUAAUGACAUCAAGCGACUUGCUGGCGUUAUUACGUUACAGUUUAUUAGACAUCAUCUAUUACAGCGUGCGCCACUCAAUUAGUCGACGACGGAACGAGACUCGCCUUUGUCUCCAAACAGUUUUCUAACAAAAAAAAAACUAAAUUUGAAAAUCAGAAAGUAAAAAAAAAAAGCCAUAGAAAUUUAAGGCGGAAAUGACAGAAAAGGGGGGAUGAACGAAACGCCGAGAAGCUCUUCUAGGUUUGAAGAUGAUCCAAUUGAGCUGUCUCGACAGUAUACACAUUCCCAUCAGCGUGAGUCUAUAUAGUACGAAUUUGGGCGUGAGUUGGAGCGCGCUCACGAGUUUUGCGGACUGCAUGGCCGCCAGCAGUCGUUAUUAUUAUUCCCAGAAUCGAAUCACCAUCCUCUUCUCACUCUCCUUUAGAUGAUGUAAUACAUUUUCUUGCUGGUUGGGCGCAUGGAACUAACAUUCGGGCGUCUCUUUUAGAUUGCUAGCAUAACACCCAAUGGGAAGAAGAUGAUUCCAAAUCCCCGAGCUGAUUUCGAUCCUCCGAAAUGAGGACGACCAAUAAGAGAGAUGGCGCAGUGCUGCAUUAUGAUGUAGCUUUAUUUACUUUUCUUUGGCACUUCUUGUCUUCCAAAUCUUUUCAAUCCUUUUUUGACUCACUCCCCAAUAACCCGGCACAUAUGUGCCGUUAUUCGCUAUACAUAAUAUACUAUAGGGCAUCGGUAAUCGGGCGCAAAGCCCCGCGACUGCUGUUGAUGACAUGCGCCUCCCAACAAAGUGGAGGGACCAAGUCGAGCAAACACGACGAUCCAUUAGAGAGAAGCAGAGCCCAGCCAUGGAGAAAGUAAAGUAGAUAUCGAAGAGAUGGGGAGAUGUAUACGCGCGGCCAGCAGAGGGAGGGAGUUGUUGAUAUGGGAAACUAUGGCGCGGAAGAACGUGACCGACGCUCGUCUUACUCUCUUACGCUGAUGGCUUCAUAUCCACCGAGAAUAUAGGACACACACACACACACACAGAUUUUCGUGAUAUAAUACAGCAGCAGCAGACAUAGACGAGGAGGCACUUGACGUUAAUUGGACUGAAUCAGGCACGGGCCCCUCUUCUCCACAGGGAGAGGUGCAACUUUGGAGACGAUGAUGAAGCGAUAAUGAAACUAUAACCCCCCGCACUCGAAAAUCGAAUGCCCACGUGCAAACGUGCUGCAUGCAUCUUUGGCCUGUAAUCUAAUGAGACUAAAUACUUAACUAUUUAUGUGUGGAUGGGAAUAAUACUGUUAGACGAGAUUGAAUGUCAAAACCGGGCCGUUCCCCCGUGUUUCCAAAAAUUGAUGUCCUUAAUAGAUUAUUUAAUCCGAAACAGCGUCUAUAAACUCAGUUAGGAUUAUGUGUACUAUUCACCGAUUUGUUUUGAACCCGGCAGCCCAGCGUAUAGUGAACGCAAAGCCGAUUUCUGAUAUACAAAGGAAAAGAUACGUAUAAUUCCUUUCCGGCCAUUAUUUCCAGAUUUCAUCGGAAACAACAUGAUUAUAUUAUUGAUUUAGACUUGAAUACUGCAUCGUUUGCUAGUUCAAUUACAAGCUGCGUACGAUCUGAUAUCCAUUGUUAACCUUUUCAUGACUGCGUACUGCUGUGUUGGGCGGCGACACUAUCGGGAGGUCAUUUUCUGCUGAGUUCUGUGCGAGGGGAAAAUCUGAAAUGUCUAUUUAAAUCAAACAAACGUUCCGUCAGAAUAUGUCGAAUCUACUUUUGAAAUGUUUAAAAGGGGACAAAGUUGAUCCGUGACUGAAAUGCUUGAGUCAUGGGGCCUUUUGUUCGCUUCCAUCUCGACCGACCUCUUGUGGAAAACUCGAGCCGCAAUGGAUGAGGGCGACAUAACACGGACGACAAACAGGACAAAAAUAGUCGAGGGGAUUUUUUAUAUUCAAUGGGGACUCGAUAAAAGGGACGACAGACGCCAUGAAAAUGCAAAGCUCAUCUUCAACCGACAGAAAACACAAUACACGCGACAAUUGUUCUUUCCUUCAACUUUGAUAGACGACUUCAUUUUUCUGCGAGUAAUAUAUAACGGAGAUCAAGCUCUUGACUUAAUAUAGCGAUUACUUUCAAGUUGUAUCACAUCCCACGUUCUGAUUAAGAACUGGGAUGGGGUUUGUUGGCGCGUCUCACCCUGUUUGCUGCUCCGCGGCUCAUCUUCGUGUAUUACAAUCUCGAUGUAAAUGUAAUAAUAUCGGGCAGCAGAGGACAAAACGAAAGGGCGACUCUUUUUGUCUGCUGGAUAAAUAGAAAAGGAAGUAGAUAAGAGAUGUGACUGGAUAAUAGAGAUUGCAAAUCGAAGGACAUCCUCCAUAUUAUUUGAGUAGGAGAUGAGUAUACUAUAUAGCCGAUGAUAUCGUAUAUGACAAAUAGAUAUAGACCGGCCGUUUCUAUAGAUCUGGCUAGAUAGGAGAAUCGUCGUUGUGCACGAGACAAACACUUUGGCAAUCAUGCAUCGAGCAAACAUGACGAGAGAGAAAAAAGCGAGAAAGAGAAAAGUGGAAACAGACGAAUGGGAACUCUUGCAAGGAAAUAGGAGAAGAUUGACGUGAAACAUUCAAUCGCGACGGAUCCUUUAUCUCUUCACAAUAGCUCUACUCUGCUGCACUAUUGUUUGUCGAAUAACUCGCCAGUCUUUCGUAAAUCGAUUCCCAAUACUACUAUUCACCCGCAUAAUAUCUAAUGUAGGUAUCCGCAAAUGGGCUUGGCCAACAUUUGCAACGGCGGGCCAGAAAUCCCAUCGCAGUCGAUUUGUAUUCCUGUCCAUAUUUGCAGAAACUCGAGUUUCACUUUCUAUCUCCAACGGCAUAGACUCUGUGUCCAUAUUUAUCUCUUGCACUCCCUGUUCCUAUAUAGAGAUAAGCCAACAAGAACUGGCUCUCUCACUUAUAAAAAAGCUUUCCCACAAUGGGCCAUUAACCGUCAAUUUUGCGCUGCUUUUAAGGAGGAUUUCUUCAAAAUAAAUCCCCGAUAACUGAACCGUCAAUUACUCAAGAUUGUGGCAGGAAAGCCCAUUAAGUGUAGUACAUCUAUCCAACAGUGAAAAUGACGUCUAGUGUUUUCCUCCGAGAGCCCAGGGAGGGUGUCAGAUGAUCUAGCUGCGGCGGCAGCAGCGCUAUAUAAUACGACUGGCUGCUUUUUCGAGAGGAAUAAGGUUUUCGCUUUUUAUACGCGACAUUGCGGAGGCGGCCGUCUCGAGGAUUAAUCCUCGGGACCUCGUUACGCAUUUGAUGUCGUCACAGACGUGUCAACUGCACAACUCGUUAGCGAGAAAGAUGUUGGAUGAGAUGAGAGAUAUCGGAAACAUUCGCCCUUCGCUCUUAUCUUCUCGGCGGAAGUGUAGUAGAUCCUCUUCCCGCUGGUUAACAGGAGAGAGACGACCAGAUGAUCUUUGAUUGUAACUCGAGCACCGAAUGGAAUGCGUCACGUGUCGUUCAUCAAGGCGAUCGCAUUCAUCGUCUCAAAGUCUCGUGGCCGAAAAAAUGUCUAUCGCAGGACUUUGACCUCGCCGUAAUCCUCCGCUAAUAUUCAACCGUCGAUGUGCCGUCACAUCAUCCGUCUAGCAACAACAAUAACAACCACGGCCAGUAGCACUAAGACCGCGCGCGUCAAAUGCAGACAACGUCGACGCCGAGUGUUGUCUUGGGAAUCGCAUCUGUUGGGGGAGCUCGAGCGUCAUCGCGCCGAUAUCUAUGAGCGCCUUUAUAGAGCCGCCAGGAGAGGGCGUGAUUAUGACAUGUCUAACUUCUCCGGCGAAUAUAUCUCUCUAAGCGAAGGCAUUGACGUCAUCCAGCCGCUUGCUUCCGGCGUCUCCCAUUCCCUUACUGCUGCUGCGGUUUCUAAUGUAAUUAUCUCUCUUGGCGGCGUCGAGUUUGGCUUGUCAUCACCGCCGCGCUCUCGUCCGUCGCGGAGAUAUUAUCGAGCAGAGAUAUUCACAUGCGAAAGACGAGGGCCCAAAUUAGUUGUGUGUGUUUCUUUUCCCUCCCACAAUAUCUAUUUCGUUUCUUUUUUUUCUGUUUUAAUUUCCAUCUCAUUUGAUGAUGAUGAAGACAGGCAAAUAUGUUGAUAUGACGUCGCUGGAUACGUUUCCAACGUCAUUCGGCGGCGGCGUCUCUAGAUGCGACUCAUAUAAUGGAGUCCCGCCUUAUUUUUCUAUCGUCUGCGGCCCGGUUGACACAAGAUACCGGGAAUAUUAUUGCCAUUAAGAGAUGAAAUAACAUGUGCUGAUGGGACGGAGAAGCUAUUCGAAUUAGAAAUUGGGCAAAACAGAAAGACAACGCCGGCGGGACGACAGUGACAGUUACUCGGCAACAUUGUCCGGGCUGCAGCAGCAGCUAGAGAGUAGACGAAGAAGAGAUGAACUUUGUCAAAUCAAAUGUUGCGACGAAAAGGACGCGGGCUAUUUAGCUUUGAAAACAAGGAGAAAAUGAAGAGAGAGGGGGGAAAUGUUGCCAUGGCGACGGGAGAAGAAAUAUAUAGAUCUGCACGAUGAUGACGUGCGACACAAAGACGUAUACAAUACCGUUUGCCGUGUAGAAAUAAGUUACUAAUGAGGAAAUCCAGGAACGAACGCCCGAAAAAGACAAAAACGAAUAGAAUAACGUCAAGCGAGAAUCAGACAUAUCCUGGCUGGUUGGCGCAUAAUAGUCCGGGGUUCCGAAAUAACUGCGACUAGCUACGUAUACCGUACGGUACGUCGAACCCUCUAAAUGAUUAUGAAGAGAUGAAGGACCAGCAGCAGCACAGCAGAUGCCGUGCGCAAAUAUUUCCCGGAGGAUUUAGAACUGGAGUGCAAAGGAAUCCGCCACGCAAACAUGCGUCACGGAAUGGAGGAGAGAUGAUGUCGCUCUGCCAUUGUCGGGAACAAAACCCGCCCUAGAUUUAAUUAUCUGUGAACAAUGGAGAAUAAGAAUUCGCGGCAUUAUGCGCAAUCUUUUUCACCACGGAGCAGCAGCGGACGAAUAGAUGAACGACUAGACUCUGUUGGAUGCUGGGCACGCCGGAAGUAGAAUAAGAAAUAAGUGCAGCGUUUCGAAUAAAAUCAUCAAAUAGAUAGAUGUUCUCUGAAGCUGACGCGCUUCCGGCCCAUGUUAGACUAGACUAUACACGUAUGGAGUUAACUGUGAAAGGAAGCCGAUAUUCUUGGAAGUCAAGGACUUUUUCCUACUCCAGCGCCAGCACGCCGGAAUCAAAUGAUAAAAAACAGACAAAGGAUUGGAAACAAUAGUUUCGAGAGACACAAAAUGGAUCAUAUCCAGUCAGCUACUGUAUACUCUGCGCUAAAGGGGGAUAAAAUAAAAUAAAAAUGGAGAGCGUCGUCGUCGUGAUAAUAAUGCAACUGUAAUACAGUAGUGCAGCUGUAUACAUUGUCGGAUGUAUAUAUAUACGGAGGAUUUCAAGCGGAUGAAAGGAAUUUUCCUCGCCUCUGCUGAGCUCUUUAAUGUCGCUCGUAAAUAAUUCCAAUCUUGUCAGGGACAAUGUUUAUAUCUCCCAUUCUGUACAGCAUAAAAGUCCUAUGCAGCAGGGGCUGCAGUGUGCCGUUCAGUUCAAAACUAUUGCCGUUUCAAGGCUAAAAUUGCCUCUAUAUAAUACGAUACGAUGUAAUAUAGCGUUCAUUUAAACCAUUUCAAAACUUUUCAAGACUUUUCCUCCCUGGGCUGUAAAGCACAACAAACUGCUCUGUUAAAGAACCAUCUUUUCUCUGCCUUGUGAUAUCCGCAGAGCAUUUCUCAUUUUUUAACAAUCGACGCCCAACCAAUUACGGGCCAGGGGAAUUUGGUAAUUUAAGAGACUAAAGUUUUGAUGCCUCGUUUUCUGGCAGAGCUAUCUUGGAUUCUAAGAUGUCGGGCUAUAUUCUAGGAAAGAGUUGUUGCGUGCUGUGUACUAAUAUAAGGCACUUGGCUUGCAUGGCGAAUACUUGGCACUCUUAAGAUUCAUUCUAAACUUUUCAAGAACUCUGUUGGCAAGUUGAUCUUCGUCAGCGGACACGUACGGUCGUCUACGCAUACAACAUUCACGGGCUAAAAGUUGCCGCUGUGUGUACCGAAGGAGUAACAUCAAUCAUCAAGUUUAUUCCACCGCGAAAACGUCAUUCGUCGUUGAAACUUUUACAAAAGGCGGGCGAUGAAUGGAUGCACUGAAUCUGGCGAUUCAAUCAAUAUUGCUUCGCGACACAACCAAGUGUGAGCAAUUAUGAAUUAUGAUUAAUUAGUACCUAGCCUUUUCCCUCAUGCAGAUCAAAUUCACAGACUGAAGAAUGUUUUUUUUAAAUGAUUUUGCUUUAUGAAUUAUGUGCGCUUGAAUCAAGCAGCGUAAACGCUGUUAUGUUUUAGAGAAGUUUGAACUUUAUAGCUCUCAAAAUUUAUACUAUCAAAGGACGAAACGUUGAACCAUCAACACUUAUUUAUUUUAGUCUCCUUACUCGCGAGCAUUUGGGCACUCGAGAUUUUAUGAAAACGAUCAAAGUCUUUUUGUAAAGAAUCAUCAAUCCCUUGUCAUGAUCAAAGCAAUUCUACCUCUCGUUAAUAUCGAAACGUAAAAUUUUCUGAAUAAUAUUGAAAGAGAAAUGCCAUUUCACUGCGACAGUUUAAGUUUAUUCAAUAACUUUGUAUCGUAAACUUGUAAUAAAAAAAUGUAUAUGAUUAGACAAAGAAUGGUUCAUCUUUAACCCACAACUCUUCUAGUGCUUGGUGAACAAGGGAACUCGUUUCGUAGCGUUCAUUCCAAGAUUGGAUCAUUCCCGAAACACUGGAUCCAUACUCCACUAGCUUCACCGUCUCCCCUAUAUCGUAAAUAUUUUUUUUAAAACGGAUUUUCUUGAGAAACGGGAUUUACUUCAUACCUUCAAGUCGGGUGUUGGACUGGACAAAAAUCUUCCUGGGCUGCUUCUUUUCAAGAAUCAUAGCUCGCCACUCAGCAAAUGGAUAUGGGCCAGUUGAAGAGACUUCAGAAUAUUUAGCAUACAUGGCCCGAGCAGCUUCUACAUUGCCGGUCGACUUGUAAACCUUAGAUUUAUUAGCGAAAAAUCAAAAUUAUGCAAAAAGACCAUCAUUAAGCGAAAAAAGGACGAAUAAAUUACUUGAAGUUUACGAAGGAAAAUGCCAAGGGCUUCUUUUCCCACGGUGCUGAUUUUGGAUCUGUCGAGCGAAAGCAACAAAUCAUCUUUGCCGUCACUUCCGAUUACCUUGGCAACAUUUACCAAACCCUGGCCAGCCUCCAAAAGCACUUGAAGGAUAACGUAUCGGGCUUGCGAAUGAGCCUAUAAUUCAAAGAAACAUUACAGAAGCAGCUCUACCUAAAUACUCUGCCGAACGUUUUACAGACCUGCAUCCACGACUGCGUUUUCGGGUUGUAAAACUCCAUGGCUCUCGUCGAACCAUUUAGAAGCAGACUGAGCCAGUUAACGUAAAUAAUAUCCUGUGCCUUUUCACCUUCGUGACCGAAAAUCCUUAAUCACACAAAAAACGAUCGUGUCAUAAAAUCAAUAAGAAGAAAAUAAAUGUUAAAAGCUUAUUACUUUAAAACGUCAUCAUUGAGAGACAAAUAAAGGCCAACACAUUCUGCUCGGCACUCUUCGUAUGAAGAUGAAAUUGUAGAAAACUUCGAGUCGUAGGUUUCACCUUCUUCGUACCACGACAGCUACACACAAACGUAAUUAAGAUAUUAUAAAGCUCUAAUCAAGAAAUUUUGCAACAAACCUCUUCACCAGAGUCCAGUGAUGCCUUUACGCUAUCCAUGUCGAAGUUGUAACUACCAUCGGGAUUUUUACGGAACAAUUUACCGCUACCAUGGCCCAGCAAUUCGUGCAGACCGACUUGCAAUUCAAACGACUCGGUGUUGUGACGAAUCAAAAGUUGCUUGUCUGCUU